RNAcentral lists this transfer RNA (21 nucleotides) under Doronicum reticulatum. RNAcentral describes it as "partial tRNA-Phe". The record is from RNAcentral. RNAcentral also lists the same sequence under 1 other name. Lineage: Eukaryota; Viridiplantae; Streptophyta; Magnoliopsida; Asterales; Asteraceae.
GUCGGGAUAGCUCAGUCGGUA